GUUGCAAAGCUGAAGACAAUAUUCUUAUCUUUCCCCAGGAGAGAUUUAUUUCUGUUCCAAAAAGUGUAAUAUGAAAACAAAAUCUUCCAAGGGGAUAAAAGUUUUUCUCCUUCCUUCAUGAUGGGAGAAGGACAGUAUGUACACAGAAACCUUCUGACUAAUCUCAUUAUCUUAAGAUGCUGUGGGAUCGGAUCUGGAAAUUAUUAGAAAUCGGGCCGGGGAGACCAGAGUAUGAAAAGAGAAGGAUCUGAGACUACCAUGCUGGAGAGUAUCAAUGUUUAAGAAACAUACAAAAAGAUUUCAAAGGCAACAUGAAAAGACAUGAAUCAGGCAACAGUACCUUCAGUCAAGGAACCACACAAGCAGGAAGAUCCCCUGGAGAAGGAAAUGGCAACCUACUCUAAUAGUCUUGUUUGGGGAAUCCUAUGGACAGAAGAGUCUGGUGAGCUUACUAGGACUGUGAUUUCAUUAAUAUAACAUGUUCAUCAACUGAGAUUCUGCCAAAUUGAAUUUUAUAAUUGGUAUUUAUAUCCUGAUAAUCAGUAAAUGUAUUUUAGUAUAUUUC
This 565-nucleotide long non-coding RNA is filed under the name Capra hircus (goat). RNAcentral describes it as "lncRNA (ENSCHIG00000005773.1)". Lineage: Eukaryota; Metazoa; Chordata; Mammalia; Artiodactyla; Bovidae. The record is from RNAcentral.